RNAcentral lists this unclassified non-coding RNA (286 nucleotides) under Hevea brasiliensis (rubber tree). Lineage: Eukaryota; Viridiplantae; Streptophyta; Magnoliopsida; Malpighiales; Euphorbiaceae. The record is from RNAcentral.
GUUCCACAAGAAUACUCUAAUGAUAGAUAAAAAGUUCUGUUAAAGUGAAUGAAAAAUUACAUAAAAUCUAGUAAACGGAGUUGCAUUUUCCAUGGCCUGUCUAUAAUAAUGAUGCCAGGAAAUAAUCUAAUGCUGAUUUUUGAGCCAUCUCAAAUGUGAAACCUACGUGUAAAAAUACAAAAACAAAGACCUGAAAAAAUGGUGGAUAGAACAUUGAGGACAGAGCAUAUACUCGACUCAGCUAGACGUCAUCUCCAAAUAGACCUGGUCAGUGGGCAGGGUGGGG